AGUCCGGCUGGCCGCUCACGCGUCGGGCCCCCAUUUACUCUCGUUACUGAGGAGACACGGCUCCAGUUUUGACCCGACUACGGUUGUUUUCUUCGUGUGUACCGCGAAAUGCUGAUGACGUCCGGUUCCGCGCAGUUUUUUUCCUAUUUCGUUUCCAACCACAGUUGUGCGGUUCACAGAUUUUUCCCUUGGGAUGUGUUUUCCAUACCUCCAAGCCCACUCUCAGAGCCUUGGGGCCCCAUAAAACUUCAUGCGCAGCUGCUUUCUGGUAUUUGCAGACCUGGAAGGCUUCUCGUAUUCUUAAUUUGGGGAAGAGAGACAUAGGUUUCCUUGUACAACGGGAUGAGGAUUUAAGAGCAGAACGACACUGAUAUUUUAAAGGCGAGGGUAUUUAGAUUUGUGGAGCUGAAACUUGCCUGAAAAGGGAGACAAAAUUUGGAAGUUUGUUGUGUGCAGUUUCUGCCCCUUACCCCCGCCCUUCACUUUUAAACUGCGCAUAUAUCAACAAUAGUUACGGUUGUUGCAGCAGUCUAAAUUUGAUUAUCAGAAUUGACCCUAGGCAUGAAUUUUUUUUUAAAUAUACCAAUGUCGUGUUAUAUACACUUAUACCAUUAUGUCCAGACUUCUCUUAAGCAUAGUUCGUGGUGGGCAGUUUUGUGGUCAUUUAGGGAUGAACUUGGGUAGGGAAAGCUGAGCAUACAUAAUUUAUUUUAGGAAUGCACCAGUUCUGCCAACAUUUAUCAGAAGUCACGUUUUUAAAAAGCUAUUCUGGAACUGAAGAUGUCAUUGGUUUAUAAGAGGAAAAUGGAAGCCAAAAGCUUACACCUCAUGCUCUAUCUUUAAAAAUUAAGGUGGCAGACACAAUGAGUAGAAGGCUUUUAUGUUACCAGAAUGAAGGCUUAAAAUCUGUCAUUUUAUUGACUCGGCUUUCUUUUUAGAAAUUUCUUUAAGAUAUAAAAGCAAUGUGGAAUAUCACUCUUUCACACUCUUAAAAUAGAUUACGUUCUCUGGAACUUCUCUAAUCUGAAAUGUGUUCAAAAAGGAAAAAGAUCUUUAAAAUACGCCAGUUAGUCUAUGGUAUAAUAUUAAACACUAUUCAUCACUAGAGAAGUUAUGGUGGUAUACCCUCCCCUUUCUCAGAUGUCCACCUUAAUGCCAGAAAUGAGCGGAGUUUCCCUUUGUUGUGCAAAAUGACUGUGUCCUUGAGGGAUGUUUGGAUGCUCUUGGUAAACCGGAAUCAGCCAGAAGCAUAUCCGGUGUUAGCCUUGUUGUGUCAUCAACAUUACAACAGUGAGGAAACCCACAUAUUCCAAUGAAAGAGGAAAACUUAAAGAAGAAGUUUCCAGUGUAUUUUCUUUGAGAUAUAUUUAUUCCUAUGACCUCAGAAGAUCAGCUUUUACCGUCCAAGGUUCACUUUGCCUAAAAGCUGAUUGUUCCUGUGGAAACAGUAGCAUCGGAUGACCCUACAAACAAAGCAUUAUGACAUCAUCAGAGCCAACAACCUGGCAUGACAGAUACUAAUAAGGAAAAAAGAGGUUACAAGAAUUCUGACACUCAUCACAGUGGAUCCAAUAUCUGGUCCCUUGGGUUUCAUAUAUGUUAGAAGUAUCUUCUCAGGAGGGAAAAGUCAAUGCCAGUCAUAUCCUUUCUAGGUAAUACUAAAUAGCACAUAAUAACCUGUCUUCUUUUUUUUUUCUUUUUCUUUGAGACGGAGUCUCAGUCUCACCCAGGCUGGAGUGCAAUGGCGCGAUCUUGGCUCACUGCAACUUCUGCCUCCCAGGUUCAAGUGAUUCGAGUAGGUGGGAUUACAGGCGCACACCGCCACGCUCUGCUAAUUUUUUGUAAUUUUUUUGUAUAUUUUGUAGAGAUGGGGGUUUCACCAUGUUGGCCAGGCUGGUCUCGAAGUCCUGACCUCGUGAUCCACCCGCCUCAGCCUCCCAAAGUGCUGGGAUUACAGCUAUUAGAAAUGUCCAUCAGCUUACGAGGAGAUUCUCCCUCAUCUCACAAACUACCUGCAUCUCCACUUCCCUGGAAGAAAAAAAAAAUCUGGACAUACCCAAGCUGUGUAUGUGCCUGAGAUCUUCCCUUCCAAGGUAAAGAGAGAGCCUGAGACAGGUCUAAAUUAGCAUCUGGACUUUCUGCUAGUAAAGAAAAGGAAAUAUGGGAAACUAAAUAGUAACAUUAAAGGACCCACAAAGGGACUACUGGGUAAGUGCUAUAAUGGAUAAUGUAAUGUGAUUUAUGAAUGCUUUUGUUCUAGUGAUUUAUUAAACUGGGAAGUCAGAAGCAGUCCUGUGAACAUUUGUUUGUUGAAGCAUGAAAAGGCAGAAUUGAUGAGUCCUUGCUUGAGUCUAUGCCUCCACCCAGUAGUUUGUUCUUAGUCUCCUAGGGGCUGAUCUCAGCAGAGAAAUGGAGACAGUUCAGUCACCAACAGUUUGUUACUGGAUUUUGGAAAAGGUACCAAAGUAAGAAUCCAAGGCUUGUAUUCUUAUCUUAGCUCUGUGAUUAACAAGCUUAGGUAAGGCUUCUAAUCUUUCUGGGUUUCUUUCCUUAUCAAUAAAAUGCGCAAGUCAGACUGCAUAAUCUUUAUGGUUUCUUCCAAAUUUCAAAUUCCAUGCAUCUAUUAAAGAGAAUCAAAAUUGUGCAUGAUUUGUCUAAAAUACCAUGUUAAAAAGUCUAAGAUAAAAUGAAAUGGGAAUUACAUACCAUUUUGAGUUUAAAAAUCACUUUUGUAAAUAUAUUAAGGAAUGAACUUGGUUUUAUUGCAAUUUAUGUAGAAAUACUGGGAAGUAGAGGGGGCUUUGAUUAACAAUUUUAAAAUGCUGAUGCAAUCCAGUCGAAAUAUAGAUGGGAUUUCAUAAAGUAGCAAAAAUUCUAUAUUCAUAAUUCAGAGUGAUAACAAAUGCAUAUCUAUAAAGCAAAAGUGUGUUUUUAAAAGUAAUUUUAAAUCCCAGUCAUUUCAUUUAAGUCUUCUAAUAAAGGAUGAAGAAG
RNAcentral lists this long non-coding RNA (2991 nucleotides) under Homo sapiens (human). Its description in RNAcentral is "non-protein coding lnc-TMEM70-1:8". Lineage: Eukaryota; Metazoa; Chordata; Mammalia; Primates; Hominidae. The record is from RNAcentral.